This is a long non-coding RNA of Micropterus dolomieu (smallmouth bass), 2202 nucleotides long. RefSeq lists it as uncharacterized. NCBI's taxonomy places the organism in Eukaryota, Metazoa, Chordata, Actinopteri, Centrarchiformes, Centrarchidae. The transcript is spliced from 3 exons. The record is from RefSeq and is a predicted model, not a curated record.
CAGCUACUCACCGGGGACUGGCCAUGUCUUGUGGAAGGUGAAACCACUCCUGCAGUUUAGAUUCUAGACCAACUCCAACCUGGAAAAAAAGGAACAAAAAUAAACAACCCAGUUUGGGGACAUUAUUUGAAGGCCAAAGGCUGACUAUAAGGUAUGACCCAGGCUCCACUGAGCAUGCCCAAUAGUGCCGUCCCUGUGUAAUAGCCACAUCCCCCACCAGGAGAUCCGAGGUCAGGUGACAGGAAGUGAGGGCGUUGUCAGCGGCCUGCAGCAGAGAGAGACCAGGGACGCUGCGAGCACAACGCUGCUCUUUACUGACCACCAACCGGUCAGCAUGGAGACCCCAGCGAGAGUCCAGGUAGAAGUUGAGCACUAGGAGGAGAUGAGGAGAGCGGAAACAGCAGAGAAAAGGAAAGGGGAGGAAAAACCGAAGAGAAAGGAGGGGAGAAGAUGUAUACGUGAGGGUAGAGGGAAGACAAAGAGACAGGUGCAUUCAAAAAUGACAUAUUGGGGUUUUAGAAGCAGCAGGAGAAGCAUGGGAGGCAACAGAGGGACAGUGGUACAGAUUUACUGUCAGAAAGCAGCAAGGAGACGAGAAAUAAGGAGAAUACAGAACAACUGAGAGGAGAGACUAAGGGGAGAGGAACAGAGAGCAGGCAUGCAACUCCUCCCACCAGCACUGGAAGAGAAAAGGACACUGAGCUAUAAAUUGAUGACUCUGGGAGUAAAGUACUGAAGGCAUCACAAAGAAGAUCUAGGGAGUGCAGAUUUUUCCAGAGGGUGUACAAUUUACAGAGGGAGCAUAUGCAAUAACAGCAAGGAAAAACAGCCUACGGGGUACACAAGGAAUUCACCAAUUCACCGUUAAAAAGCCCUGGAUCUGAACCCGAUCCAUGUUGUUAAGCCUCACGUCUUAACAAACUGCAAACCUCAUCAGCAGUCAGACAGAUCUCGUUAGAUAGAGUGGGAGGCAGAGGGGUGAGUGGGUGUCUAGAUGGGGAUGGAAGAACAGAGGAUGCACGGGAUGGCCACAAAGAGAAAGAAGAGAAGAGAUGUUGUAUGGGUGUCAAAAGAUAUGAUUUAGAUAUGUGCACUUCUUACGUUCCGUAGGAGGCAUGUAGGUUGGCAGCGUGGAAGUAGCGCGGAAGAGGAUGACAAGUACAAAGCUGUGAAAUGGAAACAACAUGUGACGGAAAGAUGAAGAAAUAAAGAGUAAGAGAGUGAGGAUGUGUUCAAAGUGGAGGAAGAGGUGGGAAAAAAUUGGAAAAAGAAGAUGGGAAAUGGGCAGAAAGGAAAAAGAAUGAAUUAUUAACUGCUCACCAUGGCAACCAACGUAAUGCUUUUAUUGUGCCUGAUAAAUAAUAGUAGGUGUGAAGAGAUGAAUGGCCCCUAUAUGACAGCAACUACAGCUUGCUAUGCGGAUAUAAUGAGAUUUGUUUGUACCCGUCAUACACUUGUCACUGAUUUAAGUGGCUAUAAGUCAUUAUACAAAAAUAGUGGAAACACUCUUGUAUAAAAUGUAUAAAAGGGACACAUUCUGGACACUUUAUGAAGGUGGGGGAUGAUCCCUCUGACAUUGUUUUUAGCACCAAGUUAAAGGAUUAUCCCAGUUAACUGCUAUUUAUGUCUUAUUUUCAUAAUUUUGGAUGUCUUUCCUAAUAUUAAAAACAAUAUUGAAAUCAUGAAAUGCUUUGUUCUGGGAAUACACCUCCAUUGUUGUGACCAUGCAUGGCCCAUCACAUCAUGUUAUUAUGCCGCAUUUGAUUCCAGGAUUCAUCAGAGUAGACAACCGUUUUUACAGUCAUCGACAGUCCAUUGUAAAUGCAUAUGGCCAGAUAAUGUGGACAUGAGAGGUACCUUGUUGCAGACAAUGUGAAGCCUCAGAUGUGUAAUUGUAAAUGUUAACUGCUGUACAGUGGACUGUCAAGUUGCCAAGGUUCGUCUCCAGAUGGAGAAUGUUUAGAUUUAUGUUGUGGUACGAUGAUUGUUUGAUCAUUGCAAUGCUCAAACACGCCCUACCAGCACCUUUAAAUCACGUUUAUUUCAAAGAUCUACUCCCUGACUUGUUGUAGUGUCCCUAAAUCCCAAAAUGUUGUCCCAGCUGGUGUUUUUAACAAAUUUUCACCCCAUUAAAUCUGUAUAAGAACAUUUCUGCUUCUCCUUUGCAAAUAAAUGUUUCAUGUAUUGCAUGUAUGAUUCAUA